Molecule: ribosomal RNA, 368 nt
Filed under: Argopus nigritarsis
Lineage: Eukaryota; Metazoa; Arthropoda; Insecta; Coleoptera; Chrysomelidae
Description: partial 16S ribosomal RNA
Source: RNAcentral
UUAAAUGGCCGCGGUAUUUUGACCGUGCUAAGGUAGCAUAAUCAUUAGUUUUUUAAUUGAAAGCUGGAAUGAAUGGUUGAAUGAAAAAAUUACUGUCUUAAAUUAAAUUUAUUAAAAUUUUAUUUUUAAGUUAAAAAGCUUAAAUUUUUUUAAAAGACGAGAAGACCCUAUAGAGUUUUAUAAAAAAAUUAAUUUGUAAUAUUUAGAAUUUUUAUUUUAAAAAUAAUUUUUUUAUUGGAUUGGGGUGAUAAAAAAAUUUAAUAAACUUUUUUUAUAUUUUUAUAUUGAUUAAUAAAUAAAUGAUCCUAAAAUUUAGAUUAAAAGAAAAAAUUACCUUAGGGAUAACAGCGUUAUUUUAUUAGAGAGUU